RNAcentral lists this transfer RNA (75 nucleotides) under Sutterella sp. CAG:351. RNAcentral's name for it is "transfer RNA-Val(CAC)". It matches the Rfam family "tRNA". Rfam says of the family: Transfer RNA (tRNA) molecules are approximately 80 nucleotides in length. Their secondary structure includes four short double-helical elements and three loops (D, anti-codon, and T loops). Lineage: Bacteria; Pseudomonadati; Pseudomonadota; Betaproteobacteria; Burkholderiales; Sutterellaceae. The record is from RNAcentral.
GCGCAGUUAGCUCAGCGGUAGAGCAUCGCCUUCACACGGUGGGGGUCACAGGUUCAAUCCCUGUACUGCGCACCA